RNAcentral lists this ribosomal RNA (500 nucleotides) under uncultured bacterium. Its description in RNAcentral is "partial 16S ribosomal RNA". It matches the Rfam family "Bacterial small subunit ribosomal RNA", at positions 28 to 507 of the family's 1533-position model. The record is from RNAcentral.
GACGAACGCUGGCGGCGUGCUUAACACAUGCAAGUCGAACGGGUCUGCCCUGUUUUUUGCGGGGUGGGUCAGUGGCGAACGGGUGAGUAACACGUGAGUAACCUGCCCCUCACUUCUGGAUAACCGCUUGAAAGGGUGGCUAAUACGGGGUGUUCUGGCUGUGCCGCAUGGUGUGGCUGGGAAAGAUUCACUUUUGUGGUGUUUUGGUGGGUGAUGGGCUCGCGGCCUAUCAGCUUGUUGGUGGGGUGAUGGCCUGCCAAGGCUUUGACGGGUAGCCGGCCUGAGAGGGUGGGCGGUCACACUGGGACUGAGAUACGGCCCAGACUCCUGCGGGAGGCAGCAGUGGGGGGUAUUGCACAAUGGGCGGAAGCCUGAUGCAGCGACGUCGCGUGAGGGAUGGAGGCCUUCGGGUUGUGAACCUCUUUCGCCGGUGAAGAAGGUCCUGCUCUUUGUGGUGGGGUUGACGGUGGCCGGGUUAUGAAGCGCCGGCUAACUACGUG